Molecule: ribosomal RNA, 482 nt
Filed under: uncultured bacterium
Lineage: Bacteria
Description: bacterial SSU rRNA
Rfam family: Bacterial small subunit ribosomal RNA
Source: RNAcentral
UUGAACGCUGGCGGCAUGCUUUACACAUGCAAGUCGAACGGCAGCGGGGGCUUCGGCCUGCCGGCGAGUGGCGAACGGGUGAGUAAUGCAUCGGAACGUACCCAGUCGUGGGGGAUAACUACGCGAAAGCGUAGCUAAUACCGCAUACGUCCUGAGGGAGAAAGCGGGGGAUCUUCGGACCUCGCGCGAUUGGAGCGGCCGAUGUCGGAUUAGCUAGUAGGUGAGGUAAAGGCUCACCUAGGCGACGAUCCGUAGCGGGUCUGAGAGGAUGAUCCGCCACACUGGGACUGAGACACGGCCCAGACUCCUACGGGAGGCAGCAGUGGGGAAUUUUGGACAAUGGGCGCAAGCCUGAUCCAGCAAUGCCGCGUGCAGGAAGAAGGUCUUCGGGUUGUAAACUGCUUUUGUACGGAACGAAAAGGUCUGGGUUAAUACCCUGGGCUCAUGACGGUACCGUAGGAAUAAGCACCGGCUAACUACGU